GUGAGGAAUUUUCCGCAAUGGGCGAAAGCCUGACGGAGCAAUACCGCGUGAAGGAUGAAGGCCUAUGGGUUGUAAACUUCUUUUCUCAGAAAAGAAUUAUGACGGUAUCUGAGGAAUAAGCAUCGGCUAACUCUGUGCCAGCAGCCGCGGUAAGACAGAGGAUGCAAGCGUUAUCCGGAAUGAUUGGGCGUAAAGCGUCUGUAGGUUGUUUAAAAAGUAUUCUGUCAAAGAUUAGGGCUUAACCCUAGAUAGGCAGAAUAAACUUUUAAGCUAGAGUUUGGUAGAGGCAGAGGGAAUUCCCGGUGGAGCGGUGAAAUGCGUAGAUAUCGGGAGGAACACCAAAGGCGAAGGCACUCUGCUGGGCCAAUACUAACACUGAGAGACGAAAGCGAGGGGAGCAAAUGGGAUUAGAUACCCCGGUAGUCC
RNAcentral lists this ribosomal RNA (426 nucleotides) under uncultured bacterium. RNAcentral describes it as "partial 16S ribosomal RNA". It matches the Rfam family "Bacterial small subunit ribosomal RNA", at positions 354 to 796 of the family's 1533-position model. The record is from RNAcentral.